Molecule: long non-coding RNA, 89 nt
Organism: Etheostoma cragini (Arkansas darter)
Lineage: Eukaryota; Metazoa; Chordata; Actinopteri; Perciformes; Percidae
Exons: 4
Source: RefSeq, a predicted model, not a curated record
UUGAACGCUACCCAGCCUUUCCAGGAGGUACUUCUACUGUUGCCAGGGGGUAUGUGGGAAGUUUGUGGAGCAGCUCAACUAAUUUGAAA